This 406-nucleotide ribosomal RNA is filed under the name uncultured microorganism. RNAcentral's name for it is "bacterial SSU rRNA". It matches the Rfam family "Bacterial small subunit ribosomal RNA", at positions 9 to 410 of the family's 1533-position model. The record is from RNAcentral.
GAGUUUGAUCCUGGCUCAGAUUGAACGCUGGCGGCAUGCCUUACACAUGCAAGUCGAACGGCAGCAUGAUCUAGCUUGCUAGAUUGAUGGCGAGUGGCGAACGGGUGAGUAAUACAUCGGAACGUGCCCUGUAGUGGGGGAUAACUAGUCGAAAGAUUAGCUAAUACCGCAUACGACCUGAGGGUGAAAGUGGGGGACCGCAAGGCCUCAUGCUAUAGGAGCGGCCGAUGUCUGAUUAGCUAGUUGGUGGGGUAAAGGCCCGACCAAGGCGACGAUCAGUAGCUGGUCUGAGAGGACGAUCAACCACACUGGGACUGAGACACGGCCCAGACUCCUACGGGAGGCAGCAGUGGGGAAUUUUGGACAAUGGGCGAAAGCCUGAUCCAGCAAUGCCGCGUGUGUGAAG